GACGAACGCUGGCGGCGUGCCUAAUACAUGCAAGUCGAACGCUGAAGGAGGAGCUUGCUUCUCUGGAUGAGUUGCGAACGGGUGAGUAACGCGUAGGUAACCUGCCUGGUAGCGGGGGAUAACUAUUGGAAACGAUAGCUAAUACCGCAUAAUAGCAGUUGUUGCAUGAUAACUGUUUGAAAGGUGCAAUUGCACCACUACCAGAUGGACCUGCGUUGUAUUAGCUAGUUGGUGGGGUAACGGCUCACCAAGGCGACGAUACAUAGCCGACCUGAGAGGGUGAUCGGCCACACUGGGACUGAGACACGGCCCAGACUCCUACGGGAGGCAGCAGUAGGGAAUCUUCGGCAAUGGACGGAAGUCUGACCGAGCAACGCCGCGUGAGUGAAGAAGGGUUUCGGAUCGUAAAGCUCUGUUGUAAGAGAAGAACGAGUGUGAGAGUGGAAAGUUCACACUGUGACGGUAUCUUACCAGAAAGGGACGGCUAACUACGUG
Molecule: ribosomal RNA, 495 nt
Filed under: uncultured bacterium
Lineage: Bacteria
Description: partial 16S ribosomal RNA
Rfam family: Bacterial small subunit ribosomal RNA
Source: RNAcentral